This 809-nucleotide ribosomal RNA is filed under the name uncultured bacterium. Its description in RNAcentral is "bacterial SSU rRNA". It matches the Rfam family "Bacterial small subunit ribosomal RNA", at positions 51 to 859 of the family's 1533-position model. The record is from RNAcentral.
ACACAUGCAAGUCGAACGAGAAUCUACUGAAAGAGUUUUCGGACAAUGGAAGUAGAGGAAAGUGGCGGACGGGUGAGUAACGCGUGAGGAACCUGCCUUGAAGAGGGGGACAACAGUUGGAAACGACUGCUAAUACCGCAUGAAGCAUAGGGGUCGCAUGAUCUUUAUGCCAAAGAUUUAUCGCUUCAAGAUGGCCUCGCGUCUGAUUAGCUAGUUGGCGGGGUAACGGCCCACCAAGGCGACGAUCAGUAGCCGGACUGAGAGGUUGAACGGCCACAUUGGGACUGAGAUACGGCCCAGACUCCUACGGGAGGCAGCAGUGGGGAAUAUUGGGCAAUGGGCGCAAGCCUGACCCAGCAACGCCGCGUGAAGGAAGAAGGCUUUCGGGUUGUAAACUUCUUUUAAGAGGGAAGAGCAGAAGACGGUACCUCUAGAAUAAGCCACGGCUAACUACGUGCCAGCAGCUGCGGUAAUACGUAGGUGGCAAGCGUUGUCCGGAUUUACUGGGUGUAAAGGGCGUGCAGCCGGGUCUGCAAGUCAGAUGUGAAAUCCAUGGGCUCAACCCAUGAACUGCAUUUGAAACUGUAGAUCUUGAGUGUCGGAGGGGCAAUCGGAAUUCCUAGUGUAGCGGUGAAAUGCGUAGAUAUUAGGAGGAACACCAGUGGCGAAGGCGGAUUGCUGGACGAUAACUGACGGUGAGGCGCGAAAGUGUGGGGAGCAAACAGGAUUAGAUACCCUGGUAGUCCACACUGUAAACGAUGAAUACUAGGUGUGCGGGGACUGACCCCCUGCGUGCCGCAGUAAACACA